Molecule: microRNA precursor, 56 nt
Organism: Gallus gallus (chicken)
Lineage: Eukaryota; Metazoa; Chordata; Aves; Galliformes; Phasianidae
Source: Ensembl
UUCUGAACGAGACUGAAGGAAGCAGCAAUUGCUCUUCUCUAAAGCGUGGACAGACA